Molecule: long non-coding RNA, 4237 nt
Filed under: Setaria viridis
Lineage: Eukaryota; Viridiplantae; Streptophyta; Magnoliopsida; Poales; Poaceae
Description: long non-coding RNA (SVIR_LNC006152)
Source: RNAcentral
CGGAUUGGGACCCGCAGGCUAUAGUGAGCAACCUAACUUUCCUUGAGCAGAAGAUCAAGCAGGUAAAAGAUGUUGUGCAGGCCAUGAGUAACCGAGAGAACCAUGUCGCUGGCGGUUCCUGUGAGCUAGCAGCAAAGCAGCAGCUCAUAACUGCUGAUCUCACUAGCAUUAUAAUCCAGCUUAUCACAACUGCUGGUUCGCUGCUCCCUUCAAUGAAGAACCCACUUAGCAGCAAUCUAGCAGUAAGGCAGCUCGGCAACACUCUUGGUUCUCCUAUGGGUUUUGGCAUGAAUACUAAUCAGCGACCAAGUGUAGACAGCAAGACCAAUAUUCCUGACAGUGGAAAGGUCUCUGAUUACGAGGAACUGAUCAAUAGCCUUAAUACUACCCAAGAUGAAAGAGAUGAGAUGAUCAAAUGCCCAAAUCCUUGUGUUGGGGAAGGGUCUGAACCGACUCCGAUGGAAGACCAUGAUGUAAAGGAGAGUGAUGAUGGUGAGCAUGAGGGAGAGAAUCUCCCCCCUGGUUCUUAUGUAGUAUUACAAUUGGAAAAGGAGGAGAUUUUAGCACCACAUACUCAUUUCUGCUUGAUCUGUGGGAAGGGCUUCAAGAGAGAUGCUAACCUAAGGAUGCAUAUGAGGGGCCAUGGAGAUGAGUACAAGACUGCUGCAGCUCUUGCCAAACCCACGAAAGAUUCUGGUUCAGAGCAUGCACCAGUUACAAGGUACUCAUGCCCAUUUGUGGGUUGCAAGCGGAACAAAGAGCACAAGAAGUUCCAGCCUCUCAAGACAAUAUUGUGUGUGAAGAACCAUUACAAGCGAAGCCAUUGUGACAAGAGCUAUACCUGCAGCCGCUGCAACACCAAAAAGUUCUCUGUGAUCGCCGACUUGAAGACUCACGAGAAGCAUUGUGGUCGUGACAAGUGGCUCUGUUCUUGCGGAACAACCUUCUCAAGGAAGGACAAGCUUUUCGGGCAUGUUGCGCUUUUCCAGGGCCACACACCUGCGCUCCCCAUGGAUGAUGUCAAGAUAUCAGAAGCAUCAGAGCAACAGCAGGGCAGCGAGCCCAUGAACGAAAUUUCGAGGAGCGUGGGGUGCUUCCCUUGCAGCUCGUCUGAUGGCAUUUCAAACCUCGACAUGAAAAUGGCUGAUGAUGCGCGCGGUUAUUACUCACCGAUGAGCUUUGAUCCUUGCUUUGGCACGCUCGAUGACUUCACUCGCCCUGGAUUCGACAUCUCUGAGGACCCCUUCUCCUUUCUGCCUUCGGGAUGCAGUUAUGUACAGCAGAAUGGAGACAACUGAUGGGGCUCAUCGUGGAUGACGACGACAAUGGCGCUGGCAACCUUUAUGUAUGAUGUAUGGCUGUAUGCAUGAUGCUAGUCUGGUUCUUGCUAUGUUUAAGGGUCAUUUUAGGUUAUGACUUUCUUUUCCUUAAGUGUCACUUCAUUUGGUGGUCAUCAAUAAUGAGCACUUCUAGCAUUUCGUAGACUGAGAUAGCCCCAGUUUUCAGUACAUACAUGCAAUUGUUACAUUUUUCAUUUUUAUCUGAAUUGGCUACAUGCUUGUGGUACCGAUACCUUGUCAUAACAGAGGACAAACGUUUAGCUGAGUGAAAUCCCAUGGUACAGAUCAGAGAUAACAAGCUGCUCAGCUGUUAAUCUGGUUCUCCCAUGUAGUCACGGCCUGCUAUUUGCUGGGAAAAAGAGCAUGAGUUCCUAGCAAGCGAUCCUUCUCCCGAAACAUGGGUGUGCUAGAUUUGUGCAGAGCUUGAUCUGGUGUAAUUUCUUUUCGCUACUGCACCCUGACAAAGUGAUAAUGAUGGCAUUGGAUACAGUCAUACAGAGAAUUCUUGUUGCUCUUUCUCUGACUGACUUCCUCUCUGAAUUUGCAAGCCGGUUGGAAUUGGAACUGUGGUGGCAGGUUGAAGAUGUGGAAAUCAACGAAGAAAUUGAAGCCUAAUUUUCCGACCUCCGACACCUACCAAACCGCGCCCACCAACCACCAUUGCCGCACCACCUUCAUCUGGUCGACUGCAAUCUUGCAGACUUGCUAGUGCAGCUCGGGUCACACAGCAGGCGACAACAAGCAAGGGCAGGCCCAUUGCUCUGGCUGCUGUUAAGCUGAGGGACAAGGCAACUGCCAACUAGCCACUUCUAUGACCCCCGCCGCCGCCGCCGCCUCGUCGGGCCCGUCCUUCUCCACCCUCACCAAGCCCGUCUCCUCUGGUUCCAACUCCGUCUGCUUCGUCAGGUAAGCAGCCGACCUGUGCAGAGACCCUCGAUCGGGAACACCUUCGCUCAGUUCUUGCAGCGAUCGGUUGGUUGCUUCAUUCCGAUUUCCGAAUCAGUGAAUGAAUUAACCAACAAGCGGUUCGUUUCCUUGCAUUGGAUGGCUGCGCCUCAGGGCAUUCGGGGGGAGAAAGCCCGCGGCGAGGGCCAGGAUGGCGGCGGUGCGGGCGGAAGCGGUGGACACGUCCAUCAGCCCGAGGGUGAACUCGCUUCGGCCGUCCGAGACCAUCGCCAUCACUGACCAGGCCACGGCGCUGCGGCUAGCCGGCGUGCCGGUCAUCGGCCUAGCCGCGGGGGAGCCAGACUUCGACACGCCGUCCGCGAUCGCCGAGGUGGGGGGACGCCUGCUCUGAUUUCCCCCCGAUUUGACCUUCGGUUUUGGCUCAUUGAGUUUAGUGCACUUGUGAAAUCAGACUUAAUCACGUUAUUGUUGAACAAUGGAUUUAGAUAUUUAGUAAGAAUGUCUAUUAUCAAUGUGGGAUAUUUCAGGUAAACAUUAUCGUUGCUUCGCUUUGAUCCAGGCUGGGAUGAAUGCAAUUAGGGACGGUUGUACAAGGUACACUCCUAAUGCCAGGACUUUGGAGCUGAGAAAGGCUAUUUGCGCUAAACUCCAGGGUGUGUGGGUGUAUGACUCUGCGGAUGGAUUUCUUCUUCAACGCUAAUAAGACUUAAGUUAAAAGAUUGAACGCCUUCAUGUUUAUUAUGACUAUACAGAGGAGAAUGGGAUACCCUAUAGCCCUGACAAGGUGCUAGUGAGCAAUGGCGCUAAGCAGUGCAUUACACAAGCGGUGCUUGCAGUUUGCUCCCCUGGUGAUGAGGUGAGCACUUUGUCCUGCUACUGCCACACAGUAACGCAUGAAACCUCUAUAGUUGGUACUGUAUUAUUAGUAUCUAUGUGAGCAUAGGCACCAAUUUUCUUAACUUUGGGUAUUGCUUCUUGGAGUUGUUUAGGAUUGUGUUUUUCAGCCUAUGUUAGAAUGGCGAAUAUCCAAAUCGAACCUUACCGUUGAAUUUGGAGAUGCGGUCUCAAGGAAUUCUAGUGUUGUUUAUUGUACAAGUAUGUCACUUGUUGAUAAUUCGUUAGUAGGUGUUGUUCAUAGGACUAUGUUGUUUCCUGUAUAAUAAUUUUCUUGAUUUGCAUCGCUAGAGGAGUUUAUGUGGCAGAUUACUUUAUUACCUAGAAAUGUAACUGGUUAGGAAGACAGGUAUUGUCACUGAAGCGUUUUACGAAAUUUGGCAUGCCCUCAUAUAAGACAGAUGCUUGUUGUUCAUAGAAUUAAAACAUUAUGUGCUGAUGUUUACCUUAGUAAUGUCGUGGGAUCCCUUUGUUUUAGGUUUUGAUUCCAGCACCAUACUGGGUCAAUUAUCCUGAGAUGGCUAGAUUGGCUGAUGCAACUCCAGUGAUUCUUCCUACAAAAAUAUCAGAGAAUUUCUUGUUAAGGCCAGAGUUGCUUGCCGAGAAGAUCAAUGAGAAAUCAAGGCUCUUAAUUCUCUGCUCACACUCUAAUCCAACAGGGUCAGUAUAUCCGAAAAAGUUAAUUGAGGAAAUAGCUGAUAUAGUCAAGAAGCAUCCUAGGCUUCUGGUAGGUUCUUUGGUUUAUGUGGUUUUUUAAUCAAGUUAUGAUCUGCUGUUACAUUUUUCUUGAUGAAUGUUAUGACAUAUCAUUUUUUUUCAUGUUUUAUCUGAUGAAAUCUAUGAGCAUAUUAUCUAUCAGCCUGCAAAACUCACAAGCUUUGCAUCGCUGCCUGGAAUGUGGGAAAGAACAUUAACUGUAAAUGGUUUUUCUAAGGUAGAAAUGUUUUUUGUUUACUUUGGUAUCCACUCUACCACUCUUCAAGAACACAAGAUUGUUCAUAAUUAAAAAUAUUAGAAUGUACUGUUCUUCAGAACUAGAUGCCUAAUCAAAUCCAGGUGGGGGAUCCUCUCUUCUUCCGUUGACCAUAAAAAAAAAA